This 471-nucleotide ribosomal RNA is filed under the name uncultured Rhodocyclaceae bacterium. RNAcentral's name for it is "bacterial SSU rRNA". It matches the Rfam family "Bacterial small subunit ribosomal RNA", at positions 33 to 499 of the family's 1533-position model. Lineage: Bacteria; Pseudomonadati; Pseudomonadota; Betaproteobacteria; Rhodocyclales; Rhodocyclaceae. The record is from RNAcentral.
ACGCUGGCGGCAUGCCUUACACAUGCAAGUCGAACGGCAGCACGGGGGCAACCCUGGUGGCGAGUGGCGAACGGGUGAGUAAAGCAUCGGAACGUGCCCUGGAGUGGGGGAUAACGUAGCGAAAGUUACGCUAAUACCGCAUAUUCUGUGAGCAGGAAAGCAGGGGAUCGCAAGACCUUGCGCUUUGGGAGCGGCCGAUGUCGGAUUAGCUAGUUGGUGGGGUAAAGGCCUACCAAGGCGACGAUCCGUAGCGGGUCUGAGAGGAUGAUCCGCCACACUGGGACUGAGACACGGCCCAGACUCCUACGGGAGGCAGCAGUGGGGAAUUUUGGACAAUGGGCGCAAGCCUGAUCCAGCCAUGCCGCGUGAGUGAAGAAGGCCUUCGGGUUGUAAAGCUCUUUCGGUGGGGAAGAAAUUGCACGGGUUAAUAGCCUGUGUAGAUGACGGUACCUGGAGAAGAAGCACCGGCUA